This 492-nucleotide ribosomal RNA is filed under the name uncultured bacterium. RNAcentral describes it as "partial 16S ribosomal RNA". It matches the Rfam family "Bacterial small subunit ribosomal RNA", at positions 29 to 507 of the family's 1533-position model. The record is from RNAcentral.
AGUGAACGCUGGCGGUAGGCCUAACACAUGCAAGUCGAACGGCAGCACAGUAAGAGCUUGCUCUUACGGGUGGCGAGUGGCGGACGGGUGAGGAAUACAUCGGAAUCUACUUUUUCGUGGGGGAUAACGUAGGGAAACUUACGCUAAUACCGCAUACGACCUACGGGUGAAAGCAGGGGAUCUUCGGACCUUGCGCGAUUGAAUGAGCCGAUGUCGGAUUAGCUAGUUGGCGGGGUAAAGGCCCACCAAGGCGACGAUCCGUAGCUGGUCUGAGAGGAUGAUCAGCCACACUGGAACUGAGACACGGUCCAGGCUCCUACGGGAGGCAGCAGUGGGGAAUAUUGGACAAUGGGCGCAAGCCUGAUCCAGCCAUACCGCGUGGGUGAAGAAGGCCUUCGGGUUGUAAAGCCCUUUUGUUGGGAAAGAAAAGCAGCAGGUUAAUACCCCGCUGUUCUGACGGUACCCAAAGAAUAAGCACCGGCUAACUACGUG